GUUUAUGUAGAUUAAUUAAGAUUGUGAGGCUGUUAACCUUAAGGCGAGUGUAAAUUCCAUAAUCG
RNAcentral lists this transfer RNA (65 nucleotides) under Schistosoma japonicum. RNAcentral's name for it is "tRNA-Asn". The record is from RNAcentral. Lineage: Eukaryota; Metazoa; Platyhelminthes; Trematoda; Strigeidida; Schistosomatidae.